Felis catus (domestic cat) is the source of this 2173-nucleotide long non-coding RNA. RefSeq lists it as uncharacterized. The transcript has 4 exons. The record is from RefSeq and is a predicted model, not a curated record. Lineage: Eukaryota; Metazoa; Chordata; Mammalia; Carnivora; Felidae.
CGAGCGGGCCCCGGCGGCUGCUCCUGCGGGCGGAGACGGGGCGGAGCCUGAGCGGGGGGCGGGGCGGCCCUGCAGGCUCCGCCCUGGCCCGCGCGCCGGGAACAAAGGCGCCCGCGCGCCCGUGGAAAGGACCCUCCGCCCGCCUGCCGCGCCUGCGCCCCGCGACCCCCAGACAGGCCCCGGGCGGGGGCGCGGGGCGCAAUGGCGGCGGGAGCGUGCGCGCUGCUCGCGCUCAACCAGCUCGUCCUUCCGUCCCGCAAAGCUUCCUCACACUGUCCCCGUCGGCCCCGUCACGCGCGGCAGCCCCGCGCCGGCCCGUCAGUCAGUCGCACACGCAUAGGCGGCUGCCCAGCCCACUGUCCCGCACAGGCCCAGCUGCAGCCGUGUCCUCAACCCUGCUCCCUAAGCACUACCCGCACAGCGGCCGGAAGAAGAGACUUGCCCCUGCAAUGUGGACACCCCUGUCACAGAAAAACUGAAGACACCUGUGGUCACAGUGGAGCCCAUCUGACAGAUGUUGAGUCAGGCAGAGCAGGACAACUUCAGAGGCAAGAGGCCCAGCAGAGCACCCAGCUGGUGCCAGAGAAAGAUCCAGGCUUCUGGAAUUUGGCCAGGCCCCCAGGGGCUCCAGAAAUCUCUGUCAACAGGAGCUCAAAUUUUCAGCCUGCUGCCAGGCCCUUAAUCAGAAAACAAGGCCCCAUUUCCUCCUGGGACUUCUGAACCAGCAUCCCAAGCCUCAGAUGAAAAAACUGAGGCACAGAGAGAUUAAGAGACAUGUUUAUGGACAUAGAACUGAGAGGUGGCAGAGAGGGGAUUCAAACCCAGGCAUCCUGGCUGCAGAGUCAAUGCUAUAUUGCCUCUCAUGUAGGUAUGAACUAUUUUGUUGUGUGUUCUCACCCUUUUCCUUAAUACCCCUACCUGAUGUGUUUUUUAUUUUUAGUUAUAGAUAUUCCUUGACUUACAAUGGGGUUACAGCCCAGUGAAACCAUCGUAAGUUGAAAAUACAGUAAGCCAAAAAUGCAUUUACUGGGCCUAACCUCCAGAACAUCAUAGUUUGGUCUAGCCUACUUUAAAUGUGCUCAGAACACUUACACAGGCCCACAGUUGGGCAAAAUCAUCUAACACAAAGCCUGUCCUAUACUAAAGUGUUGAAUGGUUCCUGUAAUUUACUGAAUACUGUAGUGAAAGUGAAAAAUAGAAUGGUUGUACAGGUGCAGAGUGGUUGUUGACCUUGAUCACACAGCUGACUGGGAGUCAUAGCCACUGCCCAGCAUCAUGAGAGAGGAGCAUACUGCGGAUGGCUAGCCAGGAAAAGAUCAAAAUCCAAAAUACGGUUUCUACUGAAUGCAUAUCGCUUUUGCACCAUCAUUAAGAUGAAAAAUUGUAAGUCAGACUGUCAUAAAUCAGGGACCAUCUAUAGUUGGUUAAAUGAUGUCACAGAUUAGGUUCUUUGGGAAGCGGACUCUGGGGCAGAGAUUAGUGUGCAGAAUGUUUGUUAGGGAGUGCUCUUGGGACCAACACUGUGGAAAGGAGAGAAGGAAACAGGACAGGGCACAGGGAGAAGUUCAGCUGUGAUGCAGGCCUGAUGACAGCCGCAGCCAACCUCCAGGGAGCUGUUUUGUCUGGUGCUGGCUUGAAAAUGGCUGGGCCUUCAUAGCCCCACUUCAGUCAGCCCUGGGAAGAGCACAGCCUCAGUCACAUGGCUCUCUGCAGCUGAGGUGAUCUUUGAGAGCUGAGAGAUCCUCCAGCAGUUGGGGCAACAAGUGCUUCCUUGAAGGAGAAUCUGAGUGGCACAUCGGUAUACCUACCUCAAAUGUAUUCCUUUCCAGUCCUUUAAAAAAGUUUAGAGUAUUUAAAACAAAGGACAAAAAUAUUGCACUGUAGAAAUGGAAUGUGCCAUUAGAAGGAGGAAUAUAAUAUGGUUAGUAUGGGUUAACGUGACUGCUGUUACUGAGAAAUGAAUGUGGCUGAGCUUCCUGGUAGGCAAAGCAAAAACUUUUUAUUCUGGUAACAUUCCCUGAUGGAGAAAAAUUUUCUUGGGGUUAAAUUCUAAAAGAAGUUUCUUGGGGUGCCUGGGUGGCUCAGUUGGUGAAGUCCAAUUUCGGCUCAAGUCAUGAUCUCAUGAUUCAUGGGUUCCAGCCCCACAUUGGUCUCUGUGCUGACAGCUCAGAGC